Molecule: long non-coding RNA, 217 nt
Filed under: Lathyrus oleraceus (garden pea)
Lineage: Eukaryota; Viridiplantae; Streptophyta; Magnoliopsida; Fabales; Fabaceae
Description: Pisum sativum (pea) long non-coding RNA (PSAT_LNC036516)
Source: RNAcentral
ACCGAUAGAGAGGGUCAUAAAAAUGAACCAAAACACUCAGAAGUCCUUCAACCACAUCAGUAGAUAACACAGACAAGAGCUUCCCAUGAUGUUCCUUGAAGCCCAGGGGAUCUAAUACAAAGGAAGACAACUUCCCUAGCUCUUUCAAAUCAGGACAUCUGAAACUGUAUUUUUGAGUGUUCUUUCGUCCAUAAUCCAUGGUCUAAAUAUAUUGGCA